CAGGCUUAACACAUGCAAGUCGAGGGGCAGCAUGGUCUUAGCUUGCUAAGGCCGAUGGCGACCGGCGCACGGGUGAGUAACACGUAUCCAACCUGCCGUCUACUCUUGGACAGCCUUCUGAAAGGAAGAUUAAUACAAGAUGGCAUCAUGAGUCCACAUGUUCACAUGAUUAAAGGUAUUCCGGUAGACGAUGGGGAUGCGUUCCAUUAGAUAGUAGGCGGGGUAACGGCCCACCUAGUCUUCGAUGGAUAGGGGUUCUGAGAGGAAGGUCCCCCACAUUGGAACUGAGACACGGUCCAAACUCCUACGGGAGGCAGCAGUGAGGAAUAUUGGUCAAUGGGCGAGAGCCUGAACCAGCCAAGUAGCGUGAAGGAUGACUGCCCUAUGGGUUGUAAACUUCUUUUAUAAAGGAAUAAAGUCGGGUAUGCAUACCCGUUUGCAUGUACUUUAUGAAUAAGGAUCGGCUAACUCCGUGCCAGCAGCCGCGGUAAUACGGAGGAUCCGAGCGUUAUCCGGAUUUAUUGGGUUUAAAGGGAGCGUAGAUGGAUGUUUAAGUCAGUUGUGAAAGUUUGCGGCUCAACCGUAAAAUUGCAGUUGAUACUGGAUAUCUUGAGUGCAGUUGAGGCAGGCGGAAUUCGUGGUGUAGCGGUGAAAUGCUUAGAUAUCACGAAGAACUCCGAUUGCGAAGGCAGCCUGCUAAGCUGCAACUGACAUUGAGGCUCGAAAGUGUGGGUAUCAAACAGGAUUAGAUACCCUGGUAGUCCACACGGUAAACGAUGAAUACUCGCUGUUUGCGAUAUACAGCAAGCGGCCAAGCGAAAGCGUUAAGUAUUCCACCUGGGGAGUACGCCGGCAACGGUGAAACUCAAAGGAAUUGACGGGGGCCCGCACAAGCGGAGGAACAUGUGGUUUAAUUCGAUGAUACGCGAGGAACCUUACCCGGGCUUAAAUUGCAGAUGAAUUACGGUGAAAGCCGUAAGCCGCAAGGCAUCUGUGAAGGUGCUGCAUGGUUGUCGUCAGCUCGUGCCGUGAGGUGUCGGCUUAAGUGCCAUAACGAGCGCAACCCUUGUUGUCAGUUACUAACAGGUCAUGCUGAGGACUCUGACAAGACUGCCAUCGUAAGAUGUGAGGAAGGUGGGGAUGACGUCAAAUCAGCACGGCCCUUACGUCCGGGGCUACACACGUGUUACAAUGGGGGGUACAGAGGGCCGCUACCACGCGAGUGGAUGCCAAUCCCAAAAACCUCUCUCAGUUCGGACUGGAGUCUGCAACCCGACUCCACGAAGCUGGAUUCGCUAGUAAUCGCGCAUCAGCCACGGCGCGGUGAAUACUUUCCCGGGCCUUGUACACACCGCCCGUCAAGCCAUGGGAGCCGGGGGUACCUGAAGUGCGUAACCGCGAGGAGCGCCCUAGGGUAAAACUGGUGACUGGGGCUAAGUCAUAACA
This 1446-nucleotide ribosomal RNA is filed under the name uncultured organism. RNAcentral's name for it is "16S ribosomal RNA". It matches the Rfam family "Bacterial small subunit ribosomal RNA". The record is from RNAcentral.